GGAUAGUGUAUCCCCCUGUUAUAAACCACAUUGAAUGAAAAAUGGCCCCUUAGUUCUCAUAGCAGAAGAUGAAAAAUCCAUCCAAGCUAAAGAAAUUUUUUUUCUUUAAUUGGGUGGGGAAAGUAGGCACGGGAAAAUAAUAAACUAUCUUUAAUUGUAAUUUAGAAAGAUAUGACAAAGCUAUGAUGAUAGCAAAAUCAAUAAGAGGAAACACUAUAGUGCAAAUAUUGCAUGCUCUUUUAGGCCCAUAUUUCUCAAUUCACCACUACAACCCAUAAUAGGCAAUGUGAUAUAUUUUACAUGUGAAAUCUAGUAAAGACAACAAAACUACCUCUUCAGGCAUAUAUCAAAUUUUACAGCAGUAUUACAAUCUUACCUUAUCAACUGAGUUGGCAACAG
Molecule: unclassified non-coding RNA, 399 nt
Filed under: Hevea brasiliensis (rubber tree)
Lineage: Eukaryota; Viridiplantae; Streptophyta; Magnoliopsida; Malpighiales; Euphorbiaceae
Source: RNAcentral